RNAcentral lists this ribosomal RNA (110 nucleotides) under Sorex araneus (European shrew). The record is from RNAcentral. Lineage: Eukaryota; Metazoa; Chordata; Mammalia; Eulipotyphla; Soricidae.
CCUGAACGCGCCUGGACACGCUUGAUCUUAUCUGAUCUCAGAAGCUAAGGAGAGUUGGGCCUGGUUAGUACUUGGAUGGGAAACCAAAUGGUCCCCCAAGUCUGCCAGGA